GAAAAGCCCUAACUACCAUAAGCAAUAAAUACCUGUACCCUAAACCGACACAGGUGGGUAAGUAGAGUAUACUAAGGGGCGCGAGAUAACUCUCUCUAAGGAACUCGGCAAAAUAGCCUCGUAACUUCGGGAGAAGAGGUACCCUUUAUGGGUUGCAAGAACCAGACGCUGGCGACUGUUUACCAAAAACACAGGUCUCCGCAAAGUCGUAAGACGAUAUAUGGGGGCUGACACCUGCCCAGUGCCGGAAGGUUAAGGGAGCUUGUUAGUCUUUGACGAAGCUCGUGACCGAAGCCCCGGUGAACGGCGGCCGUAACAAUAACGGUCCUAAGGUAGCGAAAUUCCUUGUCGGGUAAGUUCCGACCUGCACGAAUGGCGUAACGACUUCCCCGCUGUCUCCAACGUUGGCUCAGCGAAAUUGAAUUCUCCGUGAAGAUGCGGAGUACCCGCGGUCAGACGGAAAGACCCCGUGCACCUUUACUACAGCUUGACAGUGGUAUUAGCGGUAAAUUGUGUAGGAUAGGUGGGAGGCUAUGAAACCAGGGCGCCAGUUCUGGUGGAGCCAUCCUUGAAAUACCACCCUAUUUAUUGUUGAUAUCUAACCGCGGUCCAUGAACCUGGAUCCGGGACCCUGUCUGGUGGGUAGUUUGACUGGGGCGGUCGCCUCCCAAAGAGUAACGGAGGCGCGCGAUGGUGGGCUCAGAGCGGUCGGAAAUCGCUCGUUGAGUGCAAUGGCAUAAGCCCGCCUGACUGCGAGACUGACAGGUCGAGCAGAGUCGAAAGACGGCCAUAGUGAUCCGGUGGUCCCGCAUGGAAGGGCCAUCGCUCAACGGAUAAAAGGUACUCCGGGGAUAACAGGCUGAUACCGCCCAAGAGUUCACAUCGACGGCGGUGUUUGGCACCUCGAUGUCGGCUCAUCACAUCCUGGGGCUGAAGCAGGUCCCAAGGGUUCGGCUGUUCGCCGAUUAAAGCGGUACGUGAGCUGGGUUUAGAACGUCGUGAGACAGUUCGGUCCCUAUCUGCCGUGGGUGUUGGAAAUUUGAGAGGAGCUGCCCCUAGUACGAGAGGACCGGGGUGGACGUACCUCUGGUGGACCUGUUGUCGCGCCAGCGGCAUAGCAGGGUAGCUAUGUACGGAAGGGAUAACCGCUGAAUGCAUCUAAGCGGGAAACCCACCUCAAAACCAGGUUUCCCUUGAGAGCCGUUCUAGACUAGGACGUCGAUAGGCCAGGUGUGGAAGCGCUGCGAGGCGUGGAGCUUACUGGUACUAAUUGCUCGAUAGGCUUGAUC
Molecule: ribosomal RNA, 1289 nt
Filed under: uncultured Phaeocystis
Lineage: Eukaryota; Haptophyta; Phaeocystales; Phaeocystaceae
Description: partial Bacterial large subunit ribosomal RNA
Rfam family: Bacterial large subunit ribosomal RNA
Source: RNAcentral